UACGUAGGGGGCAAGCGUUAUCCGGAAUUACUGGGUGUAAAGGGAGCGUAGGUGGCAAGGCAAGUCAGAUGUGAAAACCCGGGGCCCAACCCCGGGAGUGCAUUUGAAACUGUCUGGCUAGAGUGCAGGAGAGGUAAGUGGAAUUCCUAGUGUAGCGGUGAAAUGCAUAGAGAUUAGGAAGAACACCAGUGGCGAAGGCGAUUCUCUGGACUGUAACUGACGCUGAGGCUCGAAAGCGUGGGGAGCAAACAGG
This 253-nucleotide ribosomal RNA is filed under the name uncultured Eubacteriales bacterium. Its description in RNAcentral is "uncultured Clostridiales bacterium partial 16S ribosomal RNA". It matches the Rfam family "Bacterial small subunit ribosomal RNA", at positions 524 to 776 of the family's 1533-position model. The record is from RNAcentral. Lineage: Bacteria; Bacillati; Bacillota; Clostridia; Eubacteriales.